GAGUUUGAUCCUGGCUCAGGACGAACGCUGGCGGCGCGCCUAACACAUGCAAGUCGAACGAGAGAGAGGAAGCUUGCUUCCUCAAUCGAGUGGCGAACGGGUGAGUAACGCGUGAGGAACCUGCCUCAAAGAGGGGGACAACAGUUGGAAACGACUGCUAAUACCGCAUAAGCCCACAGCUCGGCAUCGAGCAGAGGGAAAAGGAGCAAUCCGCUUUGAGAUGGCCUCGCGUCCGAUUAGCUAGUUGGUGAGGUAACGGCCCACCAAGGCAACGAUCGGUAGCCGGACUGAGAGGUUGAACGGCCACAUUGGGACUGAGACACGGCCCAGACUCCUACGGGAGGCAGCAGUGGGGAAUAUUGCACAAUGGGGGAAACCCUGAUGCAGCGACGCCGCGUGGAGGAAGAAGGUCUUCGGAUUGUAAACUCCUGUUGUUGAGGAAGAUAAUGACGGUACUCAACAAGGAAGUGACGGCUAACUACGUGCCAGCAGCCGCGGUAAAACGUAGGUCACAAGCGUUGUCCGGAAUUACUGGGUGUAAAGGGAGCGCAGCGGGAAGACAAGUUGGAAGUGAAAUCUAUGGGCUCAACCCAUAAACUGCUUUCAAAACUGUUUUUCUUGAGUAGUGCAGAGGUAGGCGGAAUUCCCGGUGUAGCGGUGGAAUGCGUAGAUAUCGGGAGGAACACCAGUGGCGAAGGCGGNCUACUGGGCACCAACUGACGCUGAGGCUCGAAAGUGUGGGUAGCAAACAGGAUUAGAUACCUGGUAGUCCACACCGUAAACGAUGAUUACUAGGUGUUGGAGGAUUGACCCCUUCAGUGCCGCAGUUAACACAAUAAGUAAUCCACCUGGGGAGUACGACCGCAAGGUUGAAACUCAAAGGAAUUGACGGGGGCCCGCACAAGCAGUGGAGUAUGUGGUUUAAUUCGACGCAACGCGAAGAACCUUACCAAGUCUUGACAUCCUGCGACGCACAUAGAAAUAUGUGUUUCCUUCGGGACGCAGAGACAGGUGGUGCAUGGUUGUCGUCAGCUCGUGUCGUGAGAUGUUGGGUUAAGUUCCGCAACGAGCGCAACCCUUACUGUCAGUUACUACGCAAGAGGACUCUGGCAGGACUGCCGUUGACAAAACGGAGGAAGGUGGGGAUGACGUCAAAUCAUCAUGCCCUUUAUGACUUGGGCUACACACGUACUACAAUGGCGUUAAACAAAGAGAAGCAAGACCGCGAGGUGGAGCAAAACUCAGAAACAACGUCCCAGUUCGGACUGCAGGCUGCAACUCGCCUGCACGAAGUCGGAAUUGCUAGUAAUCGUGGAUCAGCAUGCCACGGUGAAUACGUUCCCGGGCCUUGUACACACCGCCCGUC
RNAcentral lists this ribosomal RNA (1366 nucleotides) under uncultured bacterium. RNAcentral's name for it is "bacterial SSU rRNA". It matches the Rfam family "Bacterial small subunit ribosomal RNA". The record is from RNAcentral.